RNAcentral lists this ribosomal RNA (426 nucleotides) under uncultured bacterium. RNAcentral's name for it is "bacterial SSU rRNA". It matches the Rfam family "Bacterial small subunit ribosomal RNA", at positions 28 to 481 of the family's 1533-position model. The record is from RNAcentral.
GAUGAACGCUGGCGGCGUGCCUAACACAUGCAAGUCGAGCGAUUCUCUUCGGAGAAGAGCGGCGGACGGGUGAGUAACGCGUGGGUAACCUGCCCUGUACACACGGAUAACAUACCGAAAGGUAUGCUAAUACGAGAUAAUAUGCUUUUAUCGCAUGGUAGAAGUAUCAAAGCUUUUGCGGUACAGGAUGGACCCGCGUCUGAUUAGCUAGUUGGUAAGGUAACGGCUUACCAAGGCGACGAUCAGUAGCCGACCUGAGAGGGUGAUCGGCCGCAUUGGAACUGAGACACGGUCCAAACUCCUACGGGAGGCAGCAGUGGGGAAUAUUGCACAAUGGGCGAAAGCCUGAUGCAGCAACGCCGCGUGAGCGAUGAAGGCCUUCGGGUCGUAAAGCUCUGUCCUCAAGGAAGAUAAUGACGGUACUUG